GGGGGCGUAACGGAUUCGACGGGAUUGAAUUGCGGUGAAGAGGCGUGCCGGGUUCCGAGCUCCCGUAAAACGAUCGGAAACCAAAAACUGCCAACACGCAGUUUGCUUACGCUGCCUAAUUGAAUUAGGCAGCCGUCCAGGCGGCUGAGCCCGCGCGGCAGCCAGUGGACGUCAUUUUGCGGGAUAGGCUGAAGGCCGCAGCCUGGAGGCCUGAGGCCGAAAUCUUUCCGGGCUGGGCGGCAGCGGCUUUUGCCGGUUCUAGAACUGCCGCCGAAAUUGCUGAACCGGCUACGCACGUAGGCUCUUCAUGGUGAUCUUUCUCGGACGCGGGUUCGACUCCCGCCGCCUCCACCA
This 354-nucleotide transfer-messenger RNA is filed under the name Bryobacteraceae. Its description in RNAcentral is "DTKY01 sp020851555 X1 Standard tmRNA". It matches the Rfam family "transfer-messenger RNA". From Rfam's summary of the family: Bacterial tmRNA, also known as 10Sa RNA or SsrA, is named for its dual tRNA and mRNA-like properties. The record is from RNAcentral. Lineage: Bacteria; Pseudomonadati; Acidobacteriota; Terriglobia; Bryobacterales. RNAcentral also lists the same sequence under 1 other name.